RNAcentral lists this ribosomal RNA (490 nucleotides) under uncultured bacterium. RNAcentral's name for it is "partial 16S ribosomal RNA". It matches the Rfam family "Bacterial small subunit ribosomal RNA", at positions 28 to 507 of the family's 1533-position model. The record is from RNAcentral.
GAUGAACGCUCGCUACAGGCUUAACACAUGCAAGUCGCGGGGCAGCAUGGGGGUUGCUUGCAGUCCCUGAUGGCGACCGGCGCACGGGUGAGUAACGCGUAUCCAACCUGCCCUUCACCACGGGAUAACCCGGCGAAAGUCGGACUAAUACCGUAUGUUGUCCAUUGACGGCAUCCGAUUUGGACGAAAGGCUUAGCGGUGAGGGAUGGGGAUGCGUCCGAUUAGCUUGACGGCGGGGUAACGGCCCACCGUGGCUACGAUCGGUAGGGGUUCUGAGAGGAAGGUCCCCCACACUGGAACUGAGACACGGUCCAGACUCCUACGGGAGGCAGCAGUGAGGAAUAUUGGUCAAUGGGCGUAAGCCUGAACCAGCCAAGUAGCGUGCAGGAUGACGGCCCUAUGGGUUGUAAACUGCUUUUAUGCGGGGAUAAAGGGACCCACGUGUGGGUUUUUGCAGGUACCGCAUGAAUAAGGACCGGCUAAUUCCGUG